GACGAACGCUGGCGGCGUGCUUAACACAUGCAAGUCGAGCGAUGAAGCACCUUCGGGUGUGAAUUAGCGGCGAACGGGUGAGGAACACGUGAAGAAUCUGCCUUCAACUCUGGGAUAACUCCGGGAAACCGGGGCUAAUACCGGAUAUGAGCCUUGAUCGCAUGAUCGGGGCUGGAAAGUUUUUCGGUUGAAGAUGACUUCGCGGCCUAUCAGCUUGUUGGUGAGGUAAUGGCUCACCAAGGCGA
RNAcentral lists this ribosomal RNA (245 nucleotides) under uncultured Actinomycetes bacterium. RNAcentral describes it as "uncultured actinobacterium partial 16S ribosomal RNA". It matches the Rfam family "Bacterial small subunit ribosomal RNA", at positions 28 to 276 of the family's 1533-position model. The record is from RNAcentral. Lineage: Bacteria; Bacillati; Actinomycetota; Actinomycetes.